GAUGAAGAACGUAGCGAAAUGCGAUACGUAAUGUGAAUUGCAGAUUUCAGUGAAUCAUCGAAUCUUUGAACGCACAUCGCGCCCGCUAGUAUUCUGGCGGGCAUGCCUGUUCGAGCGUCAUUUCAACCAUCAAGCCCCCGGCUUGCGUUGGAGCCCUGCGGCUGCCGCAGGCUCCCAAAUCCAGUGGCGGGCUCGUCGUCGUACCGAGUGCAGUAAACAUCCUCGCUCAGGGAACGUGACGGGUUCUUGCCGUGAAACCCCCCACAUAUCAAGGUUGACCUCGGAUCAGGUAGGAAUACCCGCUGAACUUAAGCAUAUCAAUAAGCGGAGGA
This 332-nucleotide unclassified non-coding RNA is filed under the name soil metagenome. RNAcentral describes it as "partial contains 5.8S ribosomal RNA, internal transcribed spacer 2, and large subunit ribosomal RNA". The stretch from base 1 to 120 matches the Rfam family "5.8S ribosomal RNA", at positions 35 to 154 of the family's 154-position model. The record is from RNAcentral.